Ornithodoros turicata is the source of this 591-nucleotide long non-coding RNA. RefSeq lists it as uncharacterized. The record is from RefSeq and is a predicted model, not a curated record. The transcript has 4 exons. NCBI's taxonomy places the organism in Eukaryota, Metazoa, Arthropoda, Arachnida, Ixodida, Argasidae.
UUCGUUGCGGUGACCGUUUAUGGUGUUCAUGCGUGUACGUAAAUGCAGAAGAAUCUGAGUUUCACAAUGGUGCAGAUCCCCUUGUGUUUUGUGUUGACAAAAUGACAAGAUCGAUGGCAUUUUCCACUGACGUGUGAAAAGCAGCUGUUCAACGCGCUCCUUCGUCAGCUUGCUCGACAUCUCAGACUCGGCUAGCACAACUGUGCGAACAGUGAGCAGGGUGAAGAUACUGAUACAUAAUAUCAAGUUGCGAGUGCGCUCUCAAAUAUUUCAGAACAUACCCAGGACGCACAGGACAGAGUAAUUAUAGCUUUUUCGCUGCUUCUAACAGUGCGAUCAAGAAACAUAGCAUAUUCAGAAUUUUCUGGUGAAGAACCAAAGCUUUUAACAUUUGAGGAUACCAGAAAGAAGUUCAUUUCUCCGGGCAGCAGCGACUGGUGCGAAAAAAAUUGCUCUUCGAGGUCCCAUAUUUACGUGAAAAGAUGAGUGACGUGGCCUGCUAAUCAGUUUCACCUGAGAAACUGAGAAUUUUACGAGCGCUCAUGAAGGACAAAGUAGCAACCUCCUCCAGCUCGCAGUGAGGCAAGGGGA